AACGCAUCUUGCGCUCUCUGGUAUUCCGGAGAGCAUGCCUGUUUGAGUGUCAUGAACUCUUCAACCCUCCAGUUCCUUGUUGAGCUGAUAGGUGUUUGGAUUCUGAGUGUUGCUGGUCCUUCGGGGCGAAGCUCAUUCGUAAUACAUUAGCAACUCAAUUUCGACAAUUCGGAUUGACUCGGCGUAAUAGACUAUUCGCUGAGGACACUAGCUUGCUGGUGGCCGAAUUUCGAGGUAGAAGCUUCUAAACCGAUCAAAAGUCAAAUUUUUAGAUUAGACCUCAGAUCAGGCAGGAUUACCCGCUGAACUUAA
Molecule: unclassified non-coding RNA, 312 nt
Filed under: uncultured fungus
Lineage: Eukaryota; Fungi
Description: partial contains 5.8S ribosomal RNA, internal transcribed spacer 2, and large subunit ribosomal RNA
Rfam family: 5.8S ribosomal RNA (bases 1-52)
Source: RNAcentral